CACAUGAAGGGCAAGGCCCUCUUUCUCUCUCUCUCUCUCUCUCUCUUCUAUAUAACCCAACAAGCAUAAUAGCCAGCUCUCCUCAUCAUCCUUGAUCAAACUCAAGAGUCAAGACCAAGCAAUAAUUUCAAGUUUUCAAGUAGUUCAAUUAUGUCUGCAGUGGUGGAGGUUUGGAUGAGCGAGUUGGCAAAGCUGAAAGACAAGGUAGGAGCGAAUGGUGUUUUCAUCAAAGGGCAAACAAGGAGAGGGUGAUGAUGAGGUUGAAGAAGAACAAGUGUUGAAAGAAGCAAGAAAAGAGCGCAGCAGAAUGGCUCAGACUCAGAGGGACUUGGAUUCCUCUACGCUUUCAGAGGCCACAGUCUGUUUGCUUAUGGACCGGUUUGUGCCUUGGUGAACACCUUGUAAACAUGUUUAAAAUAUUAGUCUAAUCUUGCAUAUAUAUAAAUGUACUAUUAAUUUGAAGUGUAUUUGUUUUUUGUUUUUCCAUUUUAAUCAUAUUUUUGCAAGCUAUUAGCGGAUGAAUUAAUGGUUCUUACAUUUGGAUUUAAAGAAAUUAUAUAUAAACCAAAAGUUUAAUUAUUGC
Molecule: long non-coding RNA, 583 nt
Filed under: Prunus dulcis (almond)
Lineage: Eukaryota; Viridiplantae; Streptophyta; Magnoliopsida; Rosales; Rosaceae
Description: sRNA ncRNA
Source: RNAcentral